Passer montanus (Eurasian tree sparrow) is the source of this 9771-nucleotide long non-coding RNA. RefSeq lists it as uncharacterized. The transcript is spliced from 3 exons. The record is from RefSeq and is a predicted model, not a curated record. Lineage: Eukaryota; Metazoa; Chordata; Aves; Passeriformes; Passeridae.
GCAGGAAGCAAGAAAAACCAGCUUCAUUCUUUCUGUCCGAGACUGGAGAGCUGAGAGGUGUGGAUUUACAUCUGCAGCGUGGAAGGAUGUGCCCCUCUUGGCUGGGGAGACCUUGGAGGGAGGUGGCUGCUGCGGGAGCUGAUCCAGUGCACGCCGCUGGGAUGGCAAGUGCAUGACUUGGAGAGAUUUACAUAGCUUUUUGGGAAAACCUCCUUGUGCUGAAAUGUCAUCCCAGUCAUGAUGUUGAUUUCAAUGGAGAAUUGCUUGUGAAAGUGCCUUGCACGCUGUGUCUGAGGGCCCGUGACCGUGCUGACCCCGGUGGGUUUGGCUGUGUUCCUGAACACGGUGCAGAGACGUGCAGCAGCCCCGUGGGUGCAGCCUUGGGGCAAGAGAUCGUGUCUUACUGACACAUGGCAGCAGUUUGGGCUGGGAGGUGUUGCUGUCAUGCUUGCAGGAAGGUCUGGGAGCUGAGCCUGGCCUCUCAGGCAUCAUCACCACUGUGCUCAGGGUUGAUGCACGGGCCAGCAUUGGCACGGGGGGUUUAGGGGUGGCUGCUGCAGGGCUGACCCUCCCAGUGUGGUUUGUGCUGAUGUGGCUGGUGUUGAGAUGAGGCUGGAGGAGGCUGUGUCCAUACCAUGGACCUGGGUAGUUUCUGUUGCUGGGAGUUGAGAGUCAGUAAAUGAGCAGUGGUUGUUUUUUCUGUUACUGGCAAAUGUCUUGAUGUGUAACUUGGGCUCAAAUUGAUGUGUGCUCAUUGAGGUUGGGCCAUUAGAAGUUUGGGGGGUUUUGUUCACACUCUGAGUAGAAGGGCAGCUUGUCAGAGGGCAGGACAGUGGUUGUGCAUUGGGCAGGACUUGUCUGUUGGGAUGUCUGGGAGCAGCAUUGUCAUUUGAAAGGCAGCCACCUUGGUUUGGGUGUGUCUGUCCCCCGGCUUGUGCUUCCUCUAGUGUCUCCCUAGGGAAUGCAUUUUAUUUCUCCGUGCUCCAUCCUGGUUGCACAAUAGUGAGCACGAUGUAGGCUGCUGGCUUUAUUGCCCACAGUCUGCUGAGGUUUGGAACUUGCCUGGGCUCACCUUUUGCCCAGGCAUCUCAUAUGGGCAGGGGAGCUCAGACCAGCAGCUCCUGGGGAGUGAGUCUGCAUCGGCACAUCGGUGUCAGCCGGUCCAGGCUCCUCAAAACUCACCUAGGGGUCGAGAGGUGAGUGCUGGGAUUUCAGGGACCAGCUCUUCUCUCUGCAUUUGUCCAGCAGAAGCAGGUCCAGCUGGCUCACUUUUGGGCGAGCUGGGAAGGCUUGCCGAUCUGUCAAUACUUCAAGAAAUGCCAGGGCUAGGAAUCAUGGAGAAAGGGUUUUGUGAAGUCUGGUAUUUAAACCUCCCACUCGAGUGAUGCUGAGGAGAGCUGGCAAUGUAGCAUUGGCUUAUCAGAAGCUGUGUGGGCAGGUCAGCUUAAAAAAAAUGUUGUGUGAGCAGCACCAGAGGUGAAGGAAAGAAGCUGGUGUCUUGUCAGGUGCAGAGUUUAAAUGGGGUCAGAAUUUCUUUUUAUUAAAAAGAUUGUUUUAUUUAAAUAAUAAAUGACAGUACGUUCACUGUUGCCAGGGGCUGCUGAAGGGCAACCAGGCAGGUCUGAGCGAAUUAGGGACUAAAGGCUUUGAAUUAUUUUCUGUCAUUAAUAACUCUGAACUGAGCACUGCAGAUUCAUGUAAAAGCCAUCUCUGCUUUCAUGCAUGUGAACAGUUUGGUUUGUGGAUAGAUCUGCUGCGAUCAGAGGCUCAUUCUAUCUUUAAAAAAAAAAAAAGUUGGCUUCUGAGCUUCACCUGUCAAUAAAAGUCCUGGAAAAUGAGUCCUUGCAGGCUUCUGCAAGGCCAUAUGCAACUUAUCUUGUCCAAUGCAAGUCUCUAAUUGGCGGUUUAAAGUCGUUUAAAAAAAAGAAUCUGUUAACGGUCAGUCUAUUUUUGGUUUAAAGAUGGACUUUAUAUGGUCAUAAAGUAAAAUUCCUAGCUUAAUUAUGGGAAUCAAAGUACAUUGGCUUAAUUGCACAAAGAACUGCACACAAGAGUGCAGAGAGGACACGCUUUACAAGUGAUUAUCUGCUGAUGAAAUACUAUAUGGAGCAACAAGUGAGGGCAUUCCAGGCUCCAGAAAGCACCCUGAGGCCAGAACUGCUGAGCUGCUGGAGGAGAGAUGGCACCAAAUCUUUGUCCAAUCGAAGAGAAUUGGACAUUUCUCUUGUCCAAUGUGGACCAACUCUAUUUUUGGAAAUAAAUAAGCAUGGUCAGGGUUCAUUCCCACCACAGCACUCACCGCCCUGCCUUGUGGAGAGUUGAAACUGGACAGGAUUGAAGGGGUGAUUUAUAAGCAAAGCCUUGGUUGAGGAGUUGAUUUGUGUUCUGGAGAUGCUUCCAGAAGCUGGAAAAGCAGCUGUGGGAGGUCUGAAUGGCACAGGAUUUGGUGAUGGGAAAUGCAAGCCCCCAAUGAUUAGGAGAUCCAUCAAACUAUCUCCCUGUUGAUUGGACACAGAGACCUUGAAAGGUGUCAGAGUGCUUGGGGCAAGCCUGCAUGCUCGAAGCUGAGAUACCUGGGAAGCCAAACUGGGUGUCCAGGAAGGAGACAGAAUUUAGGACGUGGCAGUGCCUCUUCCUAAAGUCUGCGUGUGUGCCUGGGAAAAGGCUGUGACAGGGAAGUGAACUGAAGGGCUGUGACUUCACAGCAUUUCCACUCCAGCCCAGGUGUCCCCAGCCUGGUGGCACAGGGCGUGGGCAGGGUUUGGGGAGGACAGAGGCUGGGGGGAGGCUGAGGCUGUUGGGGCUGGAGGUUGGGAGCAGAGUUGUGUGCACAGGAGGGACUGGGCUGGAAUAAGGAAUGGGCACAUCUGCACAACAGGGUGGAAACAGGAGACAAAAAUAGUUGUUGUAGACUGCUCAGUGGUGAAAAAAGACCUCGUCACAACUGCUCUGAUUGAAACAUGGUGGGGGUGAUGGAAAUCAAUAAGAUACUGCAUUACCUGCCAUUGUAGCAGGUAUGUUAGGUCAUAAAGGAGGAACACUACAUCUAAAAGGUUGCUGUAAAAUCUGAGGAAAUUGGAGUACUGACAAUCAAACAGCCACAUUUAUGUUGGAUAUAAAUUCUGUAUUUUAAUGACAUAGACGUAUUAGGAAGUUUUCUAUUCCAGACAAAAGGAAAGUUGAGGAUUUCAUGAGCCCUGGGAAAAAAACCAGGCUCAUGCAUCUUCAUAAACCUGUUAGAAAAAGUGAGUUCUAUUAUGACCAUGCUACCUGGCCAGAUUGUUUGGGAGAGAACUGGCUAACAUUUUGGUGUAGCAAAUUUAUUGAUUACUUAAAGGAUCAUUUCUUGUAACAGACUGAUCUAGAGUUAGCUUUUGUUUAGGACUAAAGCAUAAGAUCUGAUUCAAAAUACAAUUACAGCUGAGUUGUUAAGUAGCAGUGACCACAUGGGGGUCACUGAAUUGCAGGUUCAGCAUUCUCAGGGGUAGAAGGUGCUGGACUAAAAGUGAGUCUUUUGUUCCAAAAUAUUGCAUGGGAGAAGAUCAGAAAAAUGAAUUCUUAGACUUCCCAUAGAUACCUGGGAAGGGUACUGGCAUCCAGGUGAGGCAGAACUCUGUCAUGAAAGAAAGAACAACCCUAAAACUGUUGUUAAAAAUAGUUAUAAAGGAAGGGACUUCUGGAGUUCAGGAAGAUUCCACCCAAGGACAGAAGUCCAGCUCUUGAGGAGCAGACAGGAAGAGCCAUGUGGAAGGGCAGGUAACCAUGAUUGGGAAAUGAAGUAGUUUAGGAGGGGCUUUGCAGAGCUGGGGGCUUUGGGGAGCCAAAUCUGUCUGAGGGACAUCAGAGACGAGGCUGGGGAGAAAAUCUGGCUGUGCAGGACUGAAGGCAGAAUUCUGAAGGCAGAAUUCACUUCCUGCACUACUUCUUGCCACUGAAGUGACUCCUCCAUGUCAUUCUGGAGCACAGGGCACGUUUGAGAGACUGCUGUCCUUUUGGGUGGAAUAAGGAGCCUUCCUCUAAAACUCAAGUGAAGCAGAGAUGAUGGAGUAAAGUAGGAAAUUCAAGUGGAGGAGCAACAGCUGUAUCAAGGGGUUUUAAACAAGCUUGGGACUGAAAUACUUAAAGGGACUAACAAAAACAGGGCUGUCAAAAAACAGCUUAGUAUUCUCCAUGACUAGAUAAUGUCCUAAUGUCAGGUUAUUCUUUUUUUUUUUAAUUAAAGUAUUCAUUAUGGCACUGGGAAUUGCAGAUCAGCAAAAACCCUGAACUCCAGUUUGAGAAGGUGAAGGUGAAGUGCUGCAGUUCUUCAGUGUGUGAGAGUUAGAAAGCAACAUACUUUCUGCAGAGAAAGGGGGUUGGACCAGGUGAUCCCUUCCAACCCAAUCCAUUCUUUGAUUCUAUGAUCAGUCUGGUUUGCUGGGGCACCUACCAGAAUGUCUGAACCCAUUGGCAAACAACAGGAGAAAAAAUAGGCUUGUAAUGAGAAGAGAAAUACUGCAGAGCCCUUCUUUGGUUGCAGUUGCUAUUUGUCACUUGGGAAGCAAAAGGUAGACUAAAGUCUAGUUAGACAAGGUGAUUAAAGGCUUCCAAGACUGCAUCUUCAGCCUUUGAGCAAAUGAGUUUCAUUCAAUGGUUUCAUUAAACCCAAAGUUGCAAAGAAAGGUUGGUUUUCAUGAAACAUUUCUGGUGGAUACCACUAGAUCCAGGUUUGAGGGGAGAAACAAGCCCAGAAUACUGGGUGAUCUAGAGAAAUCUAGAUUUCUCCUGUAAAGCAACACCUCCAGUUCAAAUUCCUGCCUUGAGCUGGACUUGCAGGUCUGCCAGAUCCCAGACUGUGCCUCAGCAGCUGAUAUUGUGGCUAUGUUUUGUUUUCUUCUUACUAAGAAAAAACUCAGAGGUCUUUACUUUUAUAAUGGGCAGAAAGGGAAGGAGGAGGAACAGAGGUCUGGGCAGCAUCUUCCAGCUCUUGCCUAGGUCUGUCCUUGAGGGGGCAUUGUUGAUGUGUGCACAUGCAGACUUGUGUUACCUCUCUUCCCAAGAGACCCAGGAGAACCCACAGGUAACUGGUGUCAGCCAGAGCACCCUUUUGCUGCUCUGGCUUAGUUUUAGGCUUCUUAAAAGUCCAGGAGUUAUGGCAAAUACCCUGGCUUCCCCCACCUUCCCUGUCUCCAGUAGAUGAUGGUACCAAAGAGUGAGUGUUUUGAUAAGUCCUUGGAGUUUGCAAUAGAAGCAGGAUAACUGCAGGCACCAGGAGGUUUCAGUCAGAGUUUGUAUUUAAAGACAAGGAGGAGAGUGGUUGGGCUGUAUUGGAGAAGUGACCCCAGCCUGGCUGUGGCUGGAAAAUUGAGAAGAGCAUAAGGUUUGGUGCAGUGAGCAUGGGGCUGACCUUGGGACGUGUGAGGCAACAGGCAACAGGGGGGGAAAAAAGAGUCAUUUUUAAUGCUCCGUCAGUAUGCCAGGCUGUAAGUGAAUUGUUCAUCCAGGAGGAAGAACUGUGAUUGUGGUAGCAGAGCAAAUGAAGGGAAGGCGUGUAGCCUGCCACAGGAGUCCUGCACAUUCCAGGUGUAGGUGCAGGUCUGGGAGGAUGCUGAGCAGGAGCUCCUCUGUACCACAGCUCGUCAGACCCCCACAGUGUCCCUGUGCUGCUCUCCCUGGUAAUCAGGUGGUUGUCACUGGCACAACCUUUGUCCCUACCCCUAGAAAUCCAUUAGAUUGCUCACUUCUAGUUAAAUUAUACCAGCUGACUUUGAAGUUACUCAAUAUAAAACCGUCGUGGUAUGCUUGCAUGAUAGUGUUUUGAUGUAAGACAACAAUUUCUUGUGCUCUCUCUUUAGGGAUUUGGGCUUUGAGUUUCACUGGGGUGUGUUGUACGUACCCAACUGCACAGGAUCAGGCCCAUCUCUGUUUUCAUAUUUCACAUCUGCGAUUAGAGAUGUUCUAGGAAACAAAUUAGGAGAUGGAGUUGUCUGUCCCAGGCUCGGGUGAUCAUAGCGACUUGUGCUAAAGGCUCUGUCCUCGUAGAGACCUGCACGGCUGCUUUGUGUAACUGCUGUCAGAGCUCUGGUUCUGGUCCUAGUGUUUUUUAAUAAAUGUACUGAGUAUACUCGCCUUUAAAUCCUGUUAGGUACUGAUAAUUAUCGCUGGCAUUCUGUACAUUAGCUCUGUACUAGCAUUCACAUUGGACUAGGCUUAAUAGCGUCAGUGUCUAAGAUGACUUGAAAAAGGAAAAUUAGUUUAUACCCUUUUCGUGUGGUUCUACUCCAUGUAGUGGGUGGUUUGUAGAAGUACCAGAAGUGCUACAAUUGUCUUCCCCCUUUUACUUGCUGAUUCUCUGCAGCAGAACAUACAGAUCUAAGUCUGUUUUUCCAUCCUUUGGAGACACUGAGAUAUUAUCAAGGUGAGGUCCAUGGAGAUACCCAGAAACCUGGGCCCUCACACAGACAUAAGGCAUCUUUUCCAUUUGGUUGUUUGUUUUUUUUCUUCUACUGUCCAUUCUCUAAGUUUUUGUUUGGUUUCUUUAAAUGUAAAAAAGUUAUUCCCUCACCUGUCAGUGCAACAUCCUCUAAGAUAUUUGUGAUCUUCCAAGAAAGGUAGACAGGAUUGGAAUAACUAAUGCCAAAAAUUGCCCAUGGCAAGGGAGGGAAAUCCUUGUUUUCAAGGCAAACCCCAUCCAGACUUUUUUUAGCACACCACAAGGGUAUAGAUCCCAACUUUUUCUUUUCCAGGUGAUCUUUAAGGCCAAGUAGCAGAGGGCAGCGUUUUGCCCUCCGGUGGGGUUCCGGUGCCGUGUGGCACCCGCGCUGUCCCGCAGGUCUGAGCCCCCGGCACCCCGGCAUUUAGGGAACUCUGUGGGGUUGGCUUUCACCCUGUUCUCAAUUUGGAUCCCCAGGGCAGAAAAAUUAGGACUUUCUCAGUUAAAGAAAAAAGCAAAAGUGAAGCAAAAUCUCUGUAGAGUUGUGUUUCCCCACAGCAGUGACGGCCCCUCAGCACCCACUUCUGUUCAGCCAGGACGCCCGGGUCAGUCCUGCUGGGUUUUUAGCCAUCUUGACCUCAUGUUUGCAAAUAUUAUUGGUAAUAUAAUGCUCUAUGUACAAAUGUCUGUGUGGCUCAUGUGUAUGUUUCUGUGGUUCAAGUCAGCCACAGCCUUCUGGAAUUUCAUUGUACUUUGGUUAAAUGUUGGACUUUUAACUCUUCUACUGUAUGGCUUCUUGAUUUCUCUUGUCCAAUGUGGACCAACUCUAUUUUUGGAAAUAAAUGAGCAUGUAAAUAAAAUGAAUGGGUUUAUGCCACUUACAAGAAAAUGCUUUAUUUAAAAUAUACACUCAGUCUUGUAUAUUUUAUGGUAUCUCAGGGAGCAGCUGAGGCUCAGGCCCUGGCAGCCUUGUGCUGAGAUACCAUAUUAUGUACAAAUUCACUUCCAAGUGCUUUUGGAAGCAGACUUCCCAUCUCCUGAGCCAAACCCCCGUAGGACCAGCCUUGCAGAGGAGGGAGGGGGGAAUCCAGAAACACGUAGUUUAAGGGGAGUAAAGGAAACAAACACGACUUUCCUCUCAACACAAGGCUUCUGGUUUGAGGUGUCCAGGUGCCAGAGACACUGCUGGGUGCAGGGAUGCCAUGGGUCGGUUCUCAGCUCCCACCUGGGAGCACAAUGACAUCUCUUUUUUUUAUUUUUUUUUUAAUUCUCCAUAUAAACCAAUAUUUACCAGUAAUCCUGUGUUUCUGUUUUUGUUUUUUGGCAGACUUUUACCAGUAAAUAUCGGUUUAUUCCUGAAACCAGAAGCCCUAAACAUACCUUUGUUUAUAAGGUCAGUUGGCAUUUUGUCUCUCUCAUUCCCCACUCCCCCCCAGUACAACCCAGCAGGUGGUUGAAAGGUACCAAGUUCUCUUUCUAGUUUUCCUGCUCUGCAUCUCUGGGAACUGGAGCCCACAGGACCUAGAGCCUUCUAUUGGUAAUGUAGAUCCGAGUUUACAAAUUGUUCUUUUACCAUUUUAAAUCCUGCUUUUAAGGACAGAGGUCUUCCCACCUGCCCACCAUGGGAACUGGUAGAAACCCCUAAAUUGCUCCUCCUCUCCAAAGCCUGCGGGUAGGUCUCUCACUAGCAUCUUCAGGCUUGGGACUGAGAAAAUAAUUUAUCCCAAAAUAUACACUAAAAACUGCCAUUUCUGGUUUACUGUGAGCAGGACCGGGGGAGGGAAGGGUGGGAAAGGAGUUUGAAACUUACUUUUCUCCCCCUUUUUUCCUAGAAAGCAAAUGUGACAUGGGGAGGAGGGAGAGAAUGUGAACAUGGCCCUUCCUAAACUCGUUGUAAACUCCUCCUCCGAGGCUGGGAAAAAGGGCAAGUGAAAGAUCUGAUCCUUAAAAGGACAUCACUGGGUGUCUGAGACCCCAAAAGCAGCUGGCAAUUUUUAAGGACUCAAAUUGCUUUUGGUUUAUCCCAAGACAAAUUGACAUGGGAAUGCUGAAGCCUCCUUUUUCCCCACAAGUAUUUGCCACCCAAACACUGCACGUUUUGGUAAUACCCCAGAAACAGAGAACCUGAUGAGGGAUAGAAAACGAGUUUACUGCACAGUCCUGACCAAAUUUUUUCUCCCAAGCAAACAAAAUGCAAAAAAAAUCCCCAAACUAAAGCAAAGCCCUGACCCUCCCCCAAAAAACCUCCUAAAAAAGCAAGUCCAAGAGGAUCUCAAAUGCCCAGUCUGGUUUUGUCCUACAUGGCUGACAGGGGUGUUUUGGCAUAGCUGCAGCCCAACCAUGUCCCUUUAAGGAGCACCGUGGCUCGUUUCCUCCUCACGACCCCGAGCUGAGGGUUUUGCUGUUCCUGAUCAGAGCUCCUGCACCUUAGUUGGAGUCCAGAAUGAGGGGAGCCCUUCCAGCUGUGCACUUUGAGCUGAAAACUACCUUUCCUCCCCUUUUGCAGCCUGGGUGGUUCUGAUUGCUGGCAGUUCUGUAAUACAACCUUAAUCUGAGCAGUUGAGGCUGGUCCUACCUUAUCUUCAGACGUCUUGCGGAGGACUCCUGUUGCCAGUUUGGUACUCAAAAGCUACACCCCACCACCAGAAGUCACUUUUUGUUUUUUCCAAAGGCAGUGAUAGCUCACCCUCUCUAGCUCUAAUGGAAAACCUGAUAAUUGCAAUGCAACUUUCUAAUAAAUUGUUCAUAUAUUCAUAAUUCCGUUGCAAUCCCAAAUUGGAGAAGAGAUCUGUUAAAGUGCACUGGUGUACCAAGCCUCAGAACCACUGCUUUCUCCAGCUCAUAGGAUGCUUUUCCAGACUGUGGAUACGUGUAUGUGUACUGCUGUGUUGAUAAGUAAAUGCCAACGAUGGAGUUCGUUGCUUUUAUACAUCCCAAAGAGAAGUUCUCCACCGUUCCCUGUCUGUUUUCUGACCGAAAAGGCGUGUGUUUGUGAACAGUGUUCACGCCAGCUCUGCCAUCCCACCCUCACAUCAGCUCACACCAAUGCCAGGAUGGGAGGAGUUGCCUGCGUACCUUCCCCAAACACCCCGGGCCGCAGUGGCAUCGUCAGGGAGCAGUUCAAACCUGUGUCCUUUGGGCUUUGUGUAAAGCAAAUGCAGAACAAGAAAAAUCGAGAUGUUAAAUCCAUUAGAAAACCAAUUCCUUAUUGUACAGUAGUAUGGAGAUCUCUAGUCAACCUGCCAUUAAUAAUAGAUUCUUAUUUUUUGAAUGAUCUAUUUAAAAGAACAGCAAGCAUUGUAUUUGCUAGUAAAUCUGAAGUGUUUACAUGGAAUUACUAAAUAAAUUAUUUGAUCUAA